This 2925-nucleotide ribosomal RNA is filed under the name Escherichia coli. Its description in RNAcentral is "bacterial LSU rRNA". It matches the Rfam family "Bacterial large subunit ribosomal RNA". Lineage: Bacteria; Pseudomonadati; Pseudomonadota; Gammaproteobacteria; Enterobacterales; Enterobacteriaceae. The record is from RNAcentral.
GGGUUGUGAGGUUAAGCGACUAAGCGUACACGGUGGAUGCCCUGGCAGUCAGAGGCGAUGAAGGACGUGCUAAUCUGCGAUAAGCGUCGGUAAGGUGAUAUGAACCGUUAUAACCGGCGAUUUCCGAAUGGGGAAACCCAGUGUGUUUCGACACACUAUCAUUAACUGAAUCCAUAGGUUAAUGAGGCGAACCGGGGAACUGAAACAUCUAAGUACCCCGAGGAAAAGAAAUCAACCGAGAUUCCCCAGUAGCGGCGAGCGAACGGGGAGCAGCCCAGAGCCUGAAUCAGUGUGUGUGUUAGUGGAAGCGUCUGGAAAGGCGCGCGAUACAGGGUGACAGCCCCGUACACAAAAAUGCACAUGCUGUGAGCUCGAUGAGUAGGGCGGGACACGUGGUAUCCUGUCUGAAUAUGGGGGGACCAUCCUCCAAGGCUAAAUACUCCUGACUGACCGAUAGUGAACCAGUACCGUGAGGGAAAGGCGAAAAGAACCCCGGCGAGGGAGUGAAAAAGAACCUGAAACCGUGUACGUACAAGCAGUGGGAGCCUCUUUAUGGGGUGACUGCGUACCUUUUGUAUAAUGGGUCAGCGACUUAUAUUCUGUAGCAAGGUUAACCGAAUAGGGGAGCCGAAGGGAAACCGAGUCUUAACUGGGCGUUAAGUUGCAGGGUAUAGACCCGAAACCCGGUGAUCUAGCCAUGGGCAGGUUGAAGGUUGGGUAACACUAACUGGAGGACCGAACCGACUAAUGUUGAAAAAUUAGCGGAUGACUUGUGGCUGGGGGUGAAAGGCCAAUCAAACCGGGAGAUAGCUGGUUCUCCCCGAAAGCUAUUUAGGUAGCGCCUCGUGAAUUCAUCUCCGGGGGUAGAGCACUGUUUCGGCAAGGGGGUCAUCCCGACUUACCAACCCGAUGCAAACUGCGAAUACCGGAGAAUGUUAUCACGGGAGACACACGGCGGGUGCUAACGUCCGUCGUGAAGAGGGAAACAACCCAGACCGCCAGCUAAGGUCCCAAAGUCAUGGUUAAGUGGGAAACGAUGUGGGAAGGCCCAGACAGCCAGGAUGUUGGCUUAGAAGCAGCCAUCAUUUAAAGAAAGCGUAAUAGCUCACUGGUCGAGUCGGCCUGCGCGGAAGAUGUAACGGGGCUAAACCAUGCACCGAAGCUGCGGCAGCGACGCUUAUGCGUUGUUGGGUAGGGGAGCGUUCUGUAAGCCUGCGAAGGUGUGCUGUGAGGCAUGCUGGAGGUAUCAGAAGUGCGAAUGCUGACAUAAGUAACGAUAAAGCGGGUGAAAAGCCCGCUCGCCGGAAGACCAAGGGUUCCUGUCCAACGUUAAUCGGGGCAGGGUGAGUCGACCCCUAAGGCGAGGCCGAAAGGCGUAGUCGAUGGGAAACAGGUUAAUAUUCCUGUACUUGGUGUUACUGCGAAGGGGGACGGAGAAGGCUAUGUUGGCCGGGCGACGGUUGUCCCGGUUUAAGCGUGUAGGCUGGUUUUCCAGGCAAAUCCGGAAAACUAAGGCUGAGGCGUGAUGACGAGGCACUACGGUGCUGAAGCAACAAAUGCCCUGCUUCCAGGAAAAGCCUCUAAGCAUCAGGUAACAUCAAAUCGUACCCCAAACCGACACAGGUGGUCAGGUAGAGAAUACCAAGGCGCUUGAGAGAACUCGGGUGAAGGAACUAGGCAAAAUGGUGCCGUAACUUCGGGAGAAGGCACGCUGAUAUGUAGGUGAAGCGACUUGCUCGUGGAGCUGAAAUCAGUCGAAGAUACCAGCUGGCUGCAACUGUUUAUUAAAAACACAGCACUGUGCAAACACGAAAGUGGACGUAUACGGUGUGACGCCUGCCCGGUGCCGGAAGGUUAAUUGAUGGGGUUAGCGCAAGCGAAGCUCUUGAUCGAAGCCCCGGUAAACGGCGGCCGUAACUAUAACGGUCCUAAGGUAGCGAAAUUCCUUGUCGGGUAAGUUCCGACCUGCACGAAUGGCGUAAUGAUGGCCAGGCUGUCUCCACCCGAGACUCAGUGAAAUUGAACUCGCUGUGAAGAUGCAGUGUACCCGCGGCAAGACGGAAAGACCCCGUGAACCUUUACUAUAGCUUGACACUGAACAUUGAGCCUUGAUGUGUAGGAUAGGUGGGAGGCUUUGAAGUGUGGACGCCAGUCUGCAUGGAGCCGACCUUGAAAUACCACCCUUUAAUGUUUGAUGUUCUAACGUUGACCCGUAAUCCGGGUUGCGGACAGUGUCUGGUGGGUAGUUUGACUGGGGCGGUCUCCUCCUAAAGAGUAACGGAGGAGCACGAAGGUUGGCUAAUCCUGGUCGGACAUCAGGAGGUUAGUGCAAUGGCAUAAGCCAGCUUGACUGCGAGCGUGACGGCGCGAGCAGGUGCGAAAGCAGGUCAUAGUGAUCCGGUGGUUCUGAAUGGAAGGGCCAUCGCUCAACGGAUAAAAGGUACUCCGGGGAUAACAGGCUGAUACCGCCCAAGAGUUCAUAUCGACGGCGGUGUUUGGCACCUCGAUGUCGGCUCAUCACAUCCUGGGGCUGAAGUAGGUCCCAAGGGUAUGGCUGUUCGCCAUUUAAAGUGGUACGCGAGCUGGGUUUAGAACGUCGUGAGACAGUUCGGUCCCUAUCUGCCGUGGGCGCUGGAGAACUGAGGGGGGCUGCUCCUAGUACGAGAGGACCGGAGUGGACGCAUCACUGGUGUUCGGGUUGUCAUGCCAAUGGCACUGCCCGGUAGCUAAAUGCGGAAGAGAUAAGUGCUGAAAGCAUCUAAGCACGAAACUUGCCCGAGAUGAGUUCUCCCUGACUCCUUGAGAGUCCUGAAGGAACGUUGAAGACGACGACGUUGAUAGGCCGGGUGUGUAAGCGCAGCGAUGCGUUGAGCUAACCGGUACUAAUGAACCGUGAGGCUUAACCUUACAACGCCGAAGGUGUUU